CUGGAUUUAAACUUUGAUAUGCUCCUGUCCCCCAGGCUGAAUUUUCUUUUGAAGUUUCCAUGCAGUUAAUACUGAUCUUGUUCUUAAAAACGUGUCUGGGAUUCACCUUCUAGAUGGUGUCUCUACCACAGACAAUCUUUUGGUACUUUGAAGAUGUUUCCACUUCCCUUCGAAGAUGUUCAAUGUCCGUACAUAGAAUGAAAGGUGCCACCUUCUCCAGCAUGAGACAUAUCCCCAUGUGAUCCCUUACCACGCAGACUCCUGGCUGAGUUAGGAAGAAAGAAUAGAAGUCAAUGCAUUCCAUUUGUUUUCAAGGCACACCCAAAAAGUAUGAACUUAGAUAUAUCACAGAGCUUCCAAUUUACCUGCCUGUAUUUACAAAAUAAGUGUAUGAUUUCUCCCGAAACAUUAUUUUUUGCAAGUUACAUGCCAAUAACCACCACUGAACAUAAGCUGAUAUUUUUGCUGAAUGAAGGAUUGUGAAUUAUCCUUGUAGCUUUCUUUGACUUCAUUACACAUUUCAAUUACUUCUCUAAACACUGACUGCCGCCAUAAAAUAUCUUUAGUUCUUUUCCCCUAUGAAAUGUGCUGCCAAUAAUAAUAUUUUACUAGAAAAUAAUGCAAUAAAUUAGCAUGAUCACAACCUAGAAUUAUAUAAAAUAAUAUUUGCUUUGUAUUCAAGUGAACCUUUCCAUGGACAGAAACAAGCACCUUGUCAUAUUUUAAGUAAACAUUAAUUAUGAAAAACAAAUUAUUUGCAAGGAGGCAAUACAAAAGUGGACGCUGGAGUUCUAUGUUAGAGUAAAUAUCUGACAGAUUUAAUAUGGAACUUUCUUUUAAAGUCUUAAGUUUUCAGUGCUCUUAUUGGCAAAUGAUGUAUUAGACCUAGUAACGUAAAACACAAUGAAAUAGAUUGUAUCUACUGGAAACAUUAGUACUCAUUAGAUCUGAUAACUGUGAGUCUAAAUGUGAAAUCUCUACUUUAUGAAUUAUCACAGAUGGUAUUGUAGAUGAUGUCUUCACGCUCUUUUGCCAAAUAAACUCCUUAUUAAAGGAGGCCCUGAGGAUGAUUAAAACAAAAUUUAGGGCAAUGGUUGCAUUAGAGGAAAGCAAAGGAGGAGAAAAUUAGAGAAGUGCGCCCAGGAGGCAUGAGCAGUAUUCGUAAUGUUUUAUUUCCAAAUUAUACCUUAUGUGCACCACCAUUUGCUAUACUAUUCUUGAUAUCUAUAACAAGAUAUUAUGUGCGGAUUCUUUCAGGACUCAGAAAACGAUGGAUGGCAAGUACUCCCCCUUUCCAAAGUGAGGUGCUGACCACUGGUAAUGCAGUAAAUCUUGAGGGUAUCAAAGGAUUGAAAUGGAAGAGCCCUGAAAAUUGGACAUUAAAAAGGCAUUAAUUUCAAGAGCAUUUUCUCUGUCCUGUAAUUUCC
This 1427-nucleotide long non-coding RNA is filed under the name Homo sapiens (human). RNAcentral describes it as "HSALNT0196831". Lineage: Eukaryota; Metazoa; Chordata; Mammalia; Primates; Hominidae. The record is from RNAcentral.